RNAcentral lists this ribosomal RNA (1458 nucleotides) under uncultured organism. Its description in RNAcentral is "16S ribosomal RNA". It matches the Rfam family "Bacterial small subunit ribosomal RNA". The record is from RNAcentral.
UGGCGGCAGGCCUAACACAUGCAAGUCGAACGGUAACAGGAAGAAGCUUGCUUCUUUGCUGACGAGUGGCGGACGGGUGAGUAAUGUCUGGGAAACUGCCUGAUGGAGGGGGAUAACUACUGGAAACGGUAGCUAAUACCGCAUAACGUCGCAAGACCAAAGAGGGGGACCUUCGGGCCUCUUGCCAUCGGAUGUGCCCAGAUGGGAUUAGCUAGUAGGUGGGGUAAAGGCUCACCUAGGCGACGAUCCCUAGCUGGUCUGAGAGGAUGACCAGCCACACUGGAACUGAGACACGGUCCAGACUCCUACGGGAGGCAGCAGUGGGGAAUAUUGCACAAUGGGCGCAAGCCUGAUGCAGCCAUGCCGCGUGUAUGAAGAAGGCCUUCGGGUUGUAAAGUACUUUCAGCGGGGAGGAAGGGAGUAAAGUUAAUACCUUUGCUCAUUGACGUUACCCGCAGAAGAAGCACCGGCUAACUCCGUGCCAGCAGCCGCGGUAAUACGGAGGGUGCAAGCGUUAAUCGGAAUUACUGGGCGUAAAGCGCACGCAGGCGGUUUGUUAAGUCAGAUGUGAAAUCCCCGGGCUCAACCUGAGAACUGCAUCUGAUACUGGCAAGCUUGAGUCUCGUAGAGGGGGGUAGAAUUCCAGGUGUAGCGGUGAAAUGCGUAGAGAUCUGGAGGAAUACCGGUGGCGAAGGCGGCCCCCUGGACGAAGACUGACGCUCAGAUGCGAAAGCGUGGGGGAGCAAACAGGAUUAGAUACCCUGGUAGUCCACGCCGUAAACGAUGUCGACUUGGAGGUUGUGCCCUUGAGGCGUGGCUUCCGGAGCUAACGCGUUAAGUCGACCGCCUGGGGAGUACGGCCGCAAGGUUAAAACUCAAAUGAAUUGACGGGGGCCCGCACAAGCGGUGGAGCAUGUGGUUUAAUUCGAUGCAACGCGAAGAACCUUACCUGGUCUUGACAUCCACAGAACCUUGUAGAGAUACGAGGGUGCCUUCGGGAACUGUGAGACAGGUGCUGCAUGGCUGUCGUCAGCUCGUGUUGUGAAAUGUUGGGUUAAGUCCCGCAACGAGCGCAACCCUUAUCCUUUGUUGCCAGCGGUCCGGCCGGGAACUCAAAGGAGACUGCCAGUGAUAAACUGGAGGAAGGUGGGGAUGACGUCAAGUCAUCAUGGCCCUUACGACCAGGGCUACACACGUGCUACAAUGGCGCAUACAAAGAGAAGCGACCUCGCGAGAGCAAGCGGACCUCAUAAAGUGCGUCGUAGUCCGGAUUGGAGUCUGCAACUCGACUCCAUGAAGUCGGAAUCGCUAGUAAUCGUGGAUCAGAAUGCCACGGUGAAUACGUCCCCGGGCCUUGUACACACCGCCCGUCACACCAUGGGAGUGGGUUGCAAAAGAAGUAGGUAGCUUAACCUUCGGGAGGGCGCUUACCACUUUGUGAUUCAUGACUGGGGUGAA